CCAAAGCUUCAUUCUUGUCCUUGAAUAGAUUUGAGCUUCCUAGGAUGCUAUCAUCUUACUCUCCUCAACUAAGGCAAAACAUAUUGAUGGUAGUUUAGUUAAAAUAAUGAAACUGUCUAUCUUUUUACAUUUCAAUUUGUUGAUUUUUUUUAUUGUUCAUUAUAUUCUUUUAGGAUGAUGCAAUUGGUACUGAUGGAAAACAGGUUUAAAAAAAAAUUAACAACAGAUUCUACAGUAAAAUUGACUGCACAAAUUGAAAUGGAUUUCUACAAUGGAUAAACAGAUUAUAGAUCAACGUCAUCGAACUUCCUUGAAUAAUUGUCAAGAUGUAAAACAACCGGAAACUUCCAUGGAUGAGAUGUAUACAAGAAUCACACAAAUGCGGAUAGAAUAUUUGAAGUAUGAACAAGUACAACUUAGACACGAAUUAUAUAAAGGAGUAUUACCAAAUAAAUCAUGCAAAGAAUGACUAUCUGUAUAUUCGAAUAUUAUGUUAUUGCAUUUACAAAAUUUAAGCUUACAUUAUUACAAAUAAAUAUUAUUUACCUCCCAUUUAUUCGA
Non-coding RNA from Nicotiana tabacum (common tobacco), 561 nucleotides. The record is from RefSeq and is a predicted model, not a curated record. NCBI's taxonomy places the organism in Eukaryota, Viridiplantae, Streptophyta, Magnoliopsida, Solanales, Solanaceae.